CGGGGGGAGCAAGCGUUGUUCGGAUUCAUUGGGCGUAAAGGGCUCGUAGGUGGCUUUGUAAGUCGGAGGUGAAAUCCCACGGCUCAACCGUGGACACGCCUUCGAAACUGUGAAGCUUGAGGCUGGGAGAGGAAAUCGGAAUUCCUGGUGUAGCGGUGAAAUGCGUAGAUAUCAGGAGGAACACCGGUGGCGAAGGCGGAUUUCUGGACCAGUUCUGACACUGAUGAGCGAAAGCCAGGGGAGCAAACAGGAUUAGAUACCCUGGUAGUCCUGGCUGUAAACGAUGGGCACUAGGUGUGGGAGGAUCGACCCCUUCCGUGCCGCAGUUAACGCAUUAAGUGCCCCGCCUGGGGAGUACGACCGCAAGGUUG
RNAcentral lists this ribosomal RNA (371 nucleotides) under uncultured organism. RNAcentral's name for it is "bacterial SSU rRNA". It matches the Rfam family "Bacterial small subunit ribosomal RNA", at positions 526 to 896 of the family's 1533-position model. The record is from RNAcentral.